CCUACGGGUGGCAGCAGUGGGGAAUAUUGGACAAUGGGCGAAAGUCUGAUCCAGCCAUGCCGCGUGUGUGAAGAAGGCCUUCGGGUUGUAAAGCACUUUCAGUGGGGAAGAAAGCCUUGGGGCUAAUACCCUCGAGGAAGGACAUCACCCACAGAAGAAGCACCGGCUAACUCCGUGCCAGCAGCCGCGGUAAUACGGAGGGUGCGAGCGUUAAUCGGAAUUACUGGGCGUAAAGCGCGCGUAGGCGGUCUGAUAAGCCGGUUGUGAAAGCCCCGGGCUCAACCUGGGAACGGCAUCCGGAACUGUCAGGCUAGAGUGCAGGAGAGGAAGGUAGAAUUCCCGGUGUAGCGGUGAAAUGCGUAGAGAUCGGGAGGAAUACCAGUGGCGAAGGCGGUCUUCUGGACUGACACUGACGCUGAGGUGCGAAAGCGUGGGUAGCAAACAGGAUUAGAUACCCUAGUAGUC
RNAcentral lists this ribosomal RNA (465 nucleotides) under Vreelandella stevensii. RNAcentral describes it as "partial 16S ribosomal RNA". It matches the Rfam family "Bacterial small subunit ribosomal RNA", at positions 338 to 795 of the family's 1533-position model. Lineage: Bacteria; Pseudomonadati; Pseudomonadota; Gammaproteobacteria; Oceanospirillales; Halomonadaceae. The record is from RNAcentral.